AUACGGAGGAUGCGAGCGUUAUCCGGAUUUAUUGGGUUUAAAGGGAGCGUAGAUGGGAGCUUAAGCCAGUUGUGAAAAGCGCGGGCCCAACCCGCGUCGUGCAAUUGGAACUGUGUUCCUUGAGUGGGUUCGGGGCAGGUGGAAUUCGUGGUGUAGCGGUGAAAUGCUUAGAUAUCACGAAGAACUCCGACAGCGUAGGCAUCCUGCCAGGCCCUUACUGACAUUGAAGCUCGAAGGUGCGGGUAUCAAACAGGAUUAGAUACCCUGGUAGUCCGCACGGUAAACGAUGGAUGCCCGCUGUCGGCGACAGACAGUCGGCGGCCAAGCGAAAGCGUUAAGCAUCCCACCUGGGGAGUACGCCGGCAACGGUGAAACUCAAAUGAAUUGGCGGGG
This 393-nucleotide ribosomal RNA is filed under the name uncultured bacterium. RNAcentral describes it as "partial 16S ribosomal RNA". It matches the Rfam family "Bacterial small subunit ribosomal RNA", at positions 523 to 918 of the family's 1533-position model. The record is from RNAcentral.